GAAUUCUGUCUUGGAGAUCAGCAAUACACUCCCAGCUUCAAAGAAGCCUCCUGAAGAUCCAAAUGCUGUUAAACCUACAACUGAAAGACAAGCAAGCCGUAACUCUUAUGGAAGAAGCCAGGCACUGAGAGAAGCUGUAAGGGGCGCUGCUGCGGAGAAAAGCGUCUCCCGGGUUGUACUGGAAGAGUAUUUUGGGGGGUGCCAGACAUAGGGCGCUCAGAGGACCCUCUGAGACGGAAUACUACCUCGCUCAGACGGAGCCCAGGCAGAGCCGGAAGCUGCCAGCAGGUGGCAGGAUCCGACCGUUUCCAGCUUCUGGGGCAGCUUGAAUUCUCUCCUCCCUGUAAUCAGCUGAAAUCAAGGCCCAGAAAGGAGGUGAGGAAGUCCGGGGUCCCAGUCCACGGGCCUGCCCUAAUCCCGGCGUCGUGGCACUUCCCAGUCCUCCUCUCGGGCCUGGACGGCGCUGCAAGCCCUGGAGGCAGGGGCCGUCCUCUUCCUCCCCGGUUUGUUCCCGAGACAGCUCUGUGACACCUGCUUACUCCUCCUCUGAGCCCCGCCUCCUCCGAGCUUCAGACCAUUUCCUCUGGACGGUUUCUCAGAGGUGAGGCCGCGCCGAGGAGCAGACCCUUCCCCUCCCUCCCCUGAGCUUCCUGCAGCCCAGGAAGCAAGGCCGGGCUCUCCUGCAGGGAACUGGGCUUCGCAUUCUGCCCUGCCACUCUGGCUGGCUCUCUCGGAAUUUCACCUACUUUUGCUGCUAAUUAACUUAAAUCAAUCGCCAGCACUGCGGAAAAAAAAGUGAAAAGAAAUAAAAACAAAAAUAGAGGGUUACUAAUAGUGCCUCCUUUCUACAAAUACAGCCUCAGUAAUCCUCGCGCUCCUC
This 880-nucleotide long non-coding RNA is filed under the name Heterocephalus glaber (naked mole-rat). RNAcentral describes it as "lncRNA (ENSHGLG00000036522.1)". Lineage: Eukaryota; Metazoa; Chordata; Mammalia; Rodentia; Bathyergidae. The record is from RNAcentral.